This 254-nucleotide ribosomal RNA is filed under the name uncultured bacterium. RNAcentral's name for it is "partial 16S ribosomal RNA". It matches the Rfam family "Bacterial small subunit ribosomal RNA", at positions 524 to 776 of the family's 1533-position model. The record is from RNAcentral.
UACGUAGGGGGCGAGCGUUGUCCGGAUUUAUUGGGCGUAAAGAGCUCGUAGGCGGUUACGUAAGUCGGGUGUGAAAGCCCCAGGCUCAACCUGGGGAUGCCACUUGAUACUGCGUUGACUAGAGUCUGGUAGGGGAUCACGGAAUUCCUGGUGUAGCGGUGAAAUGCGCAGAUAUCAGGAGGAACACCGGUGGCGAAGGCGGUGAUCUGGGCCAGUACUGACGCUGAGGAGCGAAAGCGUGGGUAGCAAACAGG